RNAcentral lists this ribosomal RNA (884 nucleotides) under Leptographium manifestum. Its description in RNAcentral is "LSU rRNA". It matches the Rfam family "Eukaryotic large subunit ribosomal RNA", at positions 38 to 949 of the family's 3401-position model. Lineage: Eukaryota; Fungi; Ascomycota; Sordariomycetes; Ophiostomatales; Ophiostomataceae. The record is from RNAcentral.
GCAUAUCAUAAGCGGAGGAAAAGAAACCAACAGGAUUGCCCCCGUAACGGCGAGUGAAGCGGCAACAGCUCAGAUUUGGAAUCUGGCCCCCAGGGCCCGAGUUGUAAUCUGGAGAGGAUGCUUCUGGCGCGGCGCCUUCCGAGUUCCCUGGAACGGGACGCCGGAGAGGGUGAGAGCCCCGUACGGUUGGACGCCUAGCCUUUGUGAAGCUCCUUCGACGAGUCGAGUAGUUUGGGAAUGCUGCUCAAAAUGGGAGGUAAAUUUCUUCUAAAGCUAAAUACCGGCCAGAGACCGAUAGCGCACAAGUAGAGUGAUCGAAAGAUGAAAAGCACUUUGAAAAGAGGGUCAAACAGUACGUGAAAUUGUUGAAAGGGAAGCGCCCGUGGCCAGACUUGUGCCCCGCGGACCACCCGGCGCCCUCAGCGCCGGUGCACUCCGCGGGGCGCAGGCCAGCAUCGGUUUUCCUAGGGGGAUAAAGGCGGCGGGAACGUGGCUCCCUCGGGAGUGUUAUAGCCCGCCGCGCCAUGCCCCUGGGGGGACCGAGGACCGCGCUUCGGCAAGGAUGCUGGCGUAAUGGCCACCGGCGACCCGUCUUGAAACACGGACCAAGGAGUCAAGCAUUGGGGCGAGUGUCUGGGUGCCAAACCCGCACGCGAAAUGAAAGUGAACGCAGGUGAGAGCUUCGGCGCAUCAUCGACCGAUCCUGAUGUUCUCGGAUGGAUUUGAGUAAGAGCCUUACCGCUUGGACCCGAAAGAUGGUGAACUAUGCCUGUAUAGGGUGAAGCCAGAGGAAACUCUGGUGGAGGCUCGCAGCGGUUCUGACGUGCAAAUCGAUCGUCAAAUAUGGGGCAUGGGGGGCAAAAGACUAAUCAAACCAUCUAGUA